ACGCUGGCGGCAGGCCUAACACAUGCAAGUCGAGCGGAUGACGGGAGCUUGCUCCCUGAUUUAGCGGCGGACGGGUGAGUAAUGCCUAGGAAUCUGCCUGGUAGUGGGGGAUAACGUUCCGAAAGGAACGCUAAUACCGCAUACGUCCUACGGGAGAAAGCAGGGGACCUUCGGGCCUUGCGCUAUCAGAUGAGCCUAGGUCGGAUUAGCUAGUUGGUGAGGUAAUGGCUCACCAAGGCGACGAUCCGUAACUGGUCUGAGAGGAUGAUCAGUCACACUGGAACUGAGACACGGUCCAGACUCCUACGGGAGGCAGCAGUGGGGAAUAUUGGACAAUGGGCGAAAGCCUGAUCCAGCCAUGCCGCGUGUGUGAAGAAGGUCUUCGGAUUGUAAAGCACUUUAAGUUGGGAGGAAGGGCAGUAAGCUAAUACCUUGCUGUUUUGACGUUACCGACAGAAUAAGCACCGGCUAACUUCGUGCCAGCAGCCGCGGUAAUACGAAGGGUGCAAGCGUUAAUCGGAAUUACUGGGCGUAAAGCGCGCGUAGGUGGUUCGUUAAGUUGGAUGUGAAAGCCCCGGGCUCAACCUGGGAACUGCAUCCAAAACUGGCGAGCUAGAGUACGGUAGAGGGUGGUGGAAUUUCCUGUGUAGCGGUGAAAUGCGUAGAUAUAGGAAGGAACACCAGUGGCGAAGGCGACCACCUGGACUGAUACUGACACUGAGGUGCGAAAGCGUGGGGAGCAAACAGGAUUAGAUACCCUGGUAGUCCACGCCGUAAACGAUGUCAACUAGCCGUUGGAAUCCUUGAGAUUUUAGUGGCGCAGCUAACGCAUUAAGUUGACCGCCUGGGGAGUACGGCCGCAAGGUUAAAACUCAAAUGAAUUGACGGGGGCCCGCACAAGCGGUGGAGCAUGUGGUUU
RNAcentral lists this ribosomal RNA (919 nucleotides) under uncultured bacterium. Its description in RNAcentral is "bacterial SSU rRNA". It matches the Rfam family "Bacterial small subunit ribosomal RNA", at positions 33 to 947 of the family's 1533-position model. The record is from RNAcentral.